AUGAACGCUAGCGGCAACGGCUUAACACAUGCAAGUCGAGGGGUAUAGUUCUUCGGAACUAGAGACCGGCGCACGGGUGCGUAACGCGUAUGCAAUCUACCUUUUGCANAGGGAUAGCCCAGAGAAAUUUGGAUUAAUACCUCAUAGUAUGUGAGAAUGGCAUCAUUUUCACAUUAAAGUCACAACGGCAAAAGAUGAGCAUGCGUCCCAUUAGCUAGUUGGUAAGGUAACGGCUUACCAAGGCGACGAUGGGUAGGGGUCCUGAGAGGGAGAUCCCCCACACUGGUACUGAGACACGGACCAGACUCCUACGGGAGGCAGCAGUGAGGAAUAUUGGACAAUGGGCGCAAGCCUGAUCCAGCCAUGCCGCGUGCAGGAUGAAGCAUCUAUGGUGUGUAAACUGCUUUUGUACGAGAAGAAACACUCCUUCGUGAAGGGGCUUGACGGUAUCGUAAGAAUAAGGAUCGGCUAACUCCGUG
This 479-nucleotide ribosomal RNA is filed under the name uncultured bacterium. Its description in RNAcentral is "bacterial SSU rRNA". It matches the Rfam family "Bacterial small subunit ribosomal RNA", at positions 29 to 507 of the family's 1533-position model. The record is from RNAcentral.